RNAcentral lists this long non-coding RNA (4928 nucleotides) under Brachypodium distachyon (stiff brome). RNAcentral describes it as "long non-coding RNA (BDIS_LNC005666)". The stretch from base 877 to 1001 matches the Rfam family "MIR1120/MIR1122 microRNA precursor family". The record is from RNAcentral. Lineage: Eukaryota; Viridiplantae; Streptophyta; Magnoliopsida; Poales; Poaceae.
UGCCUUUCUCUACCACUUCAGUGGAAUGGUAUUAAUUUAGUACCCUUACCACAUAAAACUUCUUAUUUCACUUAUAUUUCUCAUCCCAGACCUCUAAAAUGUGUUUGAACUGGUAGGGACUGUGGCUCGGAAUAAUCUGCGGGCUUGUUGUGCAGAUGCUAUUGCUCUUGUUCAUUACCUUGUCCACCAACUGGGAGAAAGAAGUAAGGAAACUAACAAACUAUUAUGGCACACAAUUUUUGUUCCGACGUCUUCUAGUGAUUUUAAUUUGUGGCCGAUUAUCUGUCUUGUUGCUUUGGUAGGCUUUAAAGGCGAAGAACAGAGUUUUUAGUUCGUCCCUACCUGCGGACUUGAUGACAUGAGACGCGCAUGAUGCACAAUUUUCUUGGGAAAUUUGUCCAGGAAUGUGCAGGGAGACAAGGAACCCAUGAAGAAUUGGGCUCUAAGAAAAGUGCUUCGAUCCACCAGCUGGUACUUUCUUCAACGAAACGUCUGCAAAUGAGCUCCCUACCCAGCACGGCACUUGAUAAGGGAAUAAAAUGUUGUUUUACUAGAAUCAACCUUAUUGAUCCAGAAUUUCCGUGGAGGAUUUACUAGACUAUUUCUUCGUAAAAGAAUAGAAUGGCAAAGAAAGGAGCUAGGUUCGCUUGCCUGUCAGAAUUGCAUAUGCUUGGUUCUCCUACUGUAACGCUAGGUUUACUCGUAGCCUAGGAAGGGAAACGGUCAAAUGUUCAUUGAAACAUGAAGAGAUGAUAAACUUUGUAGAAAUGUUCUUCGGACAAAAAGGAAGUGAUGAUAUCAUUGAAGAAGGGAAUAGAUCUGCUACUUUUGGAUCUUAUGCUAAUGGAGCUCUUGGUCCUGUGGGUUUUCUUUACUGUUCUACUCCCUCCGUCCCAUACUAAGUGACGAAAUAUUACAUGUAUUUAGAUGCUUUUUGAGUAUAGAUACAUCCAUAUUUUGGCAAAUUUGAGUCACUUAUUAUGGCACGGAGGGAGUAUCAAAAGUUUGGGCCACUUAUUUAGAAUUAUUAUAUGGCGCUGGUUAGAGCGUCUGAAACUUUGAACAAGGUCGAUUAGAUGUCUCCACCUUGUUACCUUGAUCCCUAGGAACCAGAUGCAUACGAAAUGGAGAAAUUUGGGCCAUUCAGCUUAGAGAACUGUAUUUUUUUUUUAAAUAUAUAUUAUUUUUUCUUUUUUUUUACAAAUCAUUGACUAGCAGGCUCUCUCUUGUGGGGAGACUCAUAUCCUCUAAUCAAACAGCUUUUCAGUCUAGCAUUUUCAGAAGCUCCCGAAUAGCCUCGUCUGAUUUUGAACAUCUUGCGAGUUUUUGCUCGAUGCGUAUCCGUCUUAUUAUAGGAAUAGACUGGUGGCUUUUGGUUGUUUCGAUCUAUGUAUACAUUUUUUUAGGCUUGUUAAUAAAUCAAUAAAUAUGGUUGUGUGCAUUAUUUUGUUACAGAGGUCGGGAUUUCAACCUUUUAAAAAAAAAUAGUGUUAGCUACGAGAAUAUCUACGUCUGUAGCUUUCGUCGUGUUGAAUAGUAUACUGGAUGUUCUGGUCCGGAUUAAGCUUGGAACCUUGGAUUCAACUUUUUCCGUCAGAUAAGGCUAUUAUGUCAGAUGCGUUGCACUUGACUGCCAAGCUUCCUCCUUUGUCUCACAUGAGAUCCUUUAGUCCCAAUUCCUUUCAGGCAUGCUGAAAUUGACUGGAUGAGGCACGCCAAACUUUGUUGGCAAGCAAGCUACUCCUUCACUAUAACUGUUUCCUGUCGGUUUUCAUAUGGAAUUUGUCACCAUAUUUGCAGGCCCAUCCCCAUAUAAUAUUUGAUGAAGUUGAUCGGUAGUAUAGUCUUCAGCACACAUGAUAAAUAUCCCUUCAGUUCACUUGCAAACGCAUGCCUUUGUUCAGAAGCAAAGUGAGAGGUUUCAUCCUUUCAGGCAUGGAGGAGCCCCUUGCUGGUGGCAACGCUGAGAAAACGAGAGGGCUGCUAAGACAGAGCCUGGUAGCGACCGAGGUGAAGAAGCAGCUGUACCUUGCCGGGCCUCUCAGCGCCGGAUGCCUCCUGCAGAACGUCGUCCAGAUGAUAUCGGUCAUGUUCCUAAGAUGAGCUUGUCCUCAUCUUAGGAGCUUCUGUUCUGCUUUUUUUUUUUUUGAAAAGGAGCUUUUGCUCUGUAUGUACGUAGAAAUAAGAAGGAUGUCUUGAAUGGAAUCUCUUCCAUUUUCUAGCUCCGAUCCAUUCGACAAUUUAUCAUGAUUUUCAGAUUACUUGGUGACCACCACCGAGCGCUUGUAGUUCGACUCACUAAUUAAAUCUCAGGAACUUUUUCAGAUACAGUAUGACACAUAAGAGGGCAGCCAAACAGUAGGAGUUCAAAACGGAAAAACAAACGAGAUUUGAGGGGCAACAUGUCACCUAUAAACGAUUCACAGUGUUUGUGCCUUCUGGUUCUAGUAUUCUUAGCUUCCACAAUUCACUUUAGUUCGUCUGGUAAUUAUUUUGUCAGUAGUGUGAACUUGGCUGCCAAGCUGUCUCUUUUGUCUCCCAUGUGUUUCUUUUUAGUCCACUAGACUGAAUAUUCUAACAUCUCAAUCAUGCUCAAAUUGACUGGUUGAGGCCUGUUCAACUUGGUUACCGAGUCUGACUCUGUUUCCUCGCAGUUUCUGAAGUCACCAUCUAUAUCGUUUGUGAAGUUGAUUGAUAUAUUCUUCCUCAUAUAUGUUAAAUAUCCCAUUCACUUCACUUGUAAACACCUAAACAGAUUCUGAAGUUUCAAGUAUGGUGCCAAGCAUGGAGGAGCCCCUUGUUGCGAGCAACACUGAGAAGACACAAGGGCCAGGACACAGCCUUGUGGUGAUUGAGGUCAAGAAGCAGCUUUACCUUGCUGGCCCUCUCAUCGCCGGAGGCCUCCUACAGAACGUCGUCCAGAUGAUAUCUGUCAUGUUUGUCGGUCAUCUCGGCGAGCUUGCUCUCUCCAGUGCCUCCAUCGCCACAUCCUUUGCCGGUGUCACCGGCUUCAGCUUGCUGGUAUAUUAUGACCUUACAUACGUUUGAUCUCCUUAACAAUUAACAGAAACUUGAAUAUGUGUUCAUAACUAUUUUAGGCAGGCAUGUCGAGCAGCUUGGACACACUGUGUGGGCAAGCCUUCGGAGCAAAGCAGUACCAUCUUCUUGGUAUCUACAAGCAGAGAGCAAUCUUUGUGCUCACUCUGGUGAGUGUUGUGGUUGCUGUAAUCUGGGCCUACACCGGCCAGAUCCUUCUGUUCUUCGGCCUGGACCCAGAAAUUGCCAUGGGAGCAGGGACUUACAUCCGGUGGUUGACUCCAGCAUUGUUUGUGUAUGGACCGCUUCAAUGCCAAAUCCGGUUCCUGCGGACACAAAACAUUGUCCUCCCAGUGAUGCUGAGCUCUGGUGUCAUGGCCCUGAGCCAUGUCCUGGUUUGCUGGUUGCUGGUUUACAAGCUUGGCCUGGGCAACAGUGGUGCUGCCUUGGCCAAUACCAUCUCUUACCUGGUCAAUUUUUUAGUCUUGGCUCUCUAUGUCAGGUUCUCUCAAUCUUGUAAGAACACAUGGACAGGGUUAUCAACGGAGGCAUUUCAUGACAUCCUUAGUUUCUUGAGGCUCGCCGUUCCAUCUGCUCUGAUGGUUUGGUGAGUGUAAGUUGAUCUGUCUAAUUGCAGGCAGAGUUAUUCGUGUUUCAUUUUCAAUUGAUUUCAUCCUACAUUUUCACAGUUUGGAGUGGUGGUCAUUCGACCUCAUGGUACUUCUUACUGGAUUUCUCCCAAAUCCUAAGCUCGAGGCGUCAGUAUUGUCCAUCAGGUGAAGAUAUGCAUGACUUAUAUUGUAUGGGGUUAAUUUGAUAUAUGCCACUGCAAUUCUUUCAAAUUUGGAAAAUUCCACUGCAGUUUGCGUCUUUCAGGAAAUGCCACGACAAUGGGUCAAAAGGUGCCAUUGCAGUUGCAUUUUUUCGAAGAUGAGAACUGCAGCGGCAGUUUUUGAAUUCGCAAGAGUUGCAGUGGCAUAUAGUAUCAACUAACCAUUUUUAUUUGGUUGCCUUUUUCUGGUAAUAACAAUUGACUCUCCUGCAGUUUAAAUACGGUUGUGUUAGUAUUCAGGAUCCCCUCUGGGCUUGGUGCAGCUAUAAGGUCAGAUUGAACAAGUCAAACUCGUAAACCUUUACCAUGCCAAAAUGUUUAUCCAUCAUACUUCUGGCAAUUAUACUGUUAUCUCAACCCACAAAAGGAUCGAUGAUAUCCUUUAUCUCACCUUUGUAGCACCCGUGUCGCAAAUGAGCUUGGUGCUGGGCGACCGCAUGCUGCCCGCCUAGCUACCCGUGUGAUCAUGGCCCUGGGUGUCGUGUCAGGCGUAUCACUCGGUCUUCUUGUGAUUUUAGUGCGCAAUUUGUGGGGUUAUGCAUACAGCAACGAGGAGGAAGUGGUGAAGUACGUUGCCAGAAUUAUGCCCAUUCUUGCCGUCACAUUCUUGUUUGAUGACCUGCAGUGUGUUCUUUCAGGUAAAUAUAGAUAACUUGUAGAAAGCAAAUUAUGUGUUUAUCUCCAUAAUAGUUAUCGUUUAUAUUGAAAAUUAUCCCCAAAGAUACUGACUGGCAACGGGGAUACUCUGAUAUUCCUUUUUCAGGUAUUCUUAGGGGUUGUGGCUUCCAAAAGAUUGGCGCCAUCAUCAAUCUCAGUGCAUACUAUCUUGUUGGCAUUCCGGCAGCUUUAUGUUUUGCUUUUCUCUACCACUUUGGUGGAAUGGUAUUAAUUUAGUACCCUUACACAUUAAAGUUCUCAUUUCACUUAUAUUUCUCAUUUCAGAUCUCUAUAAAAAAUUGUUUGCACUGGCAGGGAAUGUGGCUCGGAAUAGUCUGCGGGCUUGUUGUGCAGGUGCUAUUGCUCUUGUUCAUUACCUUGUCCACCAACUGGGAGAAAGAAG